AUUGAACGCUGGCGGCAGGCCUAACACAUGCAAGUCGAGCGGAUGAAGGGAGCUUGCUCCUGGAUUCAGCGGCGGACGGGUGAGUAAUGCCUAGGAAUCUGCCUGGUAGUGGGGGAUAACGUCCGGAAACGGGCGCUAAUACCGCAUACGUCCUGAGGGAGAAAGUGGGGGAUCUUCGGACCUCACGCUAUCAGAUGAGCCUAGGUCGGAUUAGCUAGUUGGUGGGGUAAAGGCCUACCAAGGCGACGAUCCGUAACUGGUCUGAGAGGAUGAUCAGUCACACUGGAACUGAGACACGGUCCAGACUCCUACGGGAGGCAGCAGUGGGGAAUAUUGGACAAUGGGCGAAAGCCUGAUCCAGCCAUGCCGCGUGUGUGAAGAAGGUCUUCGGAUUGUAAAGCACUUUAAGUUGGGAGGAAGGGCAGUAAGUUAAUACCUUGCUGUUUCGACGUUACCAACAGAAUAAGCACCGGCUAACUUCGU
Molecule: ribosomal RNA, 483 nt
Filed under: uncultured bacterium
Lineage: Bacteria
Description: partial 16S ribosomal RNA
Rfam family: Bacterial small subunit ribosomal RNA
Source: RNAcentral